Molecule: long non-coding RNA, 2004 nt
Organism: Parus major (Great Tit)
Lineage: Eukaryota; Metazoa; Chordata; Aves; Passeriformes; Paridae
Exons: 3
Source: RefSeq, a predicted model, not a curated record
AGGACAAAAACCAGGACAGUUUGGCACCUCCUGCCACCUUCAUCUUGUCGAUCUGUAAAUUAUCUGUUCCGUUCAGCCUGAGAGGAAUCAACCCACGGGGCGCGACUUUACCAGGCCUGUAUUUCGGGAGCUGGUUUGGGCAGGGCUGGGGAAACAGGAGGCUUUGGGUAGAGGAAAAUGGCUGGAGCAAAGCUGCGGGAUCGGGCCCUCAGUCCCCGAGCCCUCCCCGCCCCGGCACUGCGGCAGAGCCACAGCAUGCGACCCGGGCCCUCAGGCCACGGCACGGGCCGGGCUGACAGCGCUCCCAGAAGGUUCCAGAGGCUGAGGGAGGCUCUGCAGCCCCCACAGCGCCAGGGCGGGCCCUGCUCCUCCCUCCACGUGCCCACAGCGCCCGGGGAGCGGCCGGAGCGGGGAGGAGGGCAGCCCACCCGAACCGGAGACAUAAAGCAAAGCCGCACAGCGAAUCCUGAUGGGUUCACGCUGGCUUCAAAUCAAUGAAGUUUACCCCAGGAAAAGCGAGCUGAUUGCAUAGAUUCCACCAUUCUGCAGAAACAAAGUUAUCAUAGAAAAAAAUCUGAAAAACUAUUAUCUGUUGAGCCUUUGAGAACUUCACUUGAUAUUGAAACAGAUAAACACUGACCUGGAACUCUGAAGUGCCUGUUUCUAGUCCAGCCUGAGGAGAACAACUGGAAUCCAAGCUACUUGUUUUUGCUACAGCACAACAGCUGUUCUGUGGGAUGUUUCACCUUUGCAAGGAGCUGGUACAUUGCAAAAGUUUCAUUUUGUAUUUGAAUGUGUAGUCUGAAUGUUAUAUUUCUUAAUCACAUCCAGGAGAUUUCUAUUGUGAUUGAUCACAAUGUCAACUUGGAAAAUUAGAUCCCUUUUUUCUGCCAAAGUCCAUGAAUAGGCUUGGUCUUUUACAUAACCAUUGAUAGAAUUAGCCUUUUUCAGAGAAGCUGGAACAGUAGGUCUAAUUUCCUUUAUGUUAUUUAUUAUUCCAUUUAAAUUAAUUACUUUUUGAUCUUUAGACUUUUUAGUAGUGUAUAAAUGUAAAUCAUACCCUGUGUAUCCAAGCAUGUAACACAAUAUAUUCAAAAUUCUGGACAAGAUGCAUCCAUUCUUUUUUUUCUGAACUCACUUUCCUAGCUUGAUUUUUUUUUUUUCUGGAGAAAAUUAUCUGGGGUCCUAUUUAAACCUUCACAAAUGUAUUUCAGUCAUCAAAUCAGAUAUUUAAUGGGCUUGACAUUUUGAGUAACUGCUCCCUGGGUAUUUUCAUUCUCCCUUAAAAGGAAGCUAGCAUUAAGGGAGAGAAUGGAUACCUAAUGAAAUGUCAAAAACAUUGAAUAUCUGCUUUGAAUUUGGAGCAUAAUGUAGCACAUUUUCUUUUAGAUAUUAAUAAAAAUAUACAUUUUUUUCUGUGUUGAGCACAUCUUUCAUAUUUUCUGCAAUUAAAAAUGCCUUUAAAUAAUUUUAUUCCUUUUUUUUAUUUUUUACUCCAAGGAAUUGAAACAAUUUUGUGAAGCUUGGCAUUUUGAAAACAGAACAUUUCCCCAUUAAAUAGUGUCAAUGGAAGAUUGUAGAGUAGCUCUGGGGAAAGUGAAAAGUGAUUUUAACAGUCAGCCCUAAUAAAAGGUUUUCAUAUUUAUCAACUAAGGAUUGCUACAUGAACUCCAGCAAAUGUUGUGGGAGCUCAGCAUUGGAAUUCACUGAGCAUUUUUUGUCCCACAGAAGAGUUUGCUUGCAUACACCUGUCUCUACUGUUUUCUAGUUUAAAAAAUCAGACAGAUUCCCAUAUAGCAUGUAGACCACUAAAAUUAAAAAUAAAUUAAGUAGCAUGAUGUGAAUACAGCACAUUAUAGGUAACAAAAUAUUGUCUAGAAGGCAAACCAGAACUUAUGCAUUGCUGUUAGAAUUUUUUAUUAUUUUUUUCCUGGGAUUCCUUGAGAGAAAAUGUCUACAGUAAAAAAUGAUAAUGAAAUAUAUGCCCUUCUCCACACUUCUUCA